UAAGGAAUAUUGCUCAAUGGGGGAAAACCCUGAAGCAGCAACGCCGCGUGAAGGAUGAAGGGCUUUUGCUUGUAAACUUCUGUAGUGAGGGAAAAAACUUCCACUCUGUGGAAUAUGAUGGUACCUCAAAAGUAAGCCCCGGCUAACUACGUGCC
Molecule: ribosomal RNA, 155 nt
Filed under: uncultured bacterium
Lineage: Bacteria
Description: partial 16S ribosomal RNA
Rfam family: Bacterial small subunit ribosomal RNA
Source: RNAcentral